Molecule: ribosomal RNA, 437 nt
Filed under: uncultured bacterium
Lineage: Bacteria
Description: bacterial SSU rRNA
Rfam family: Bacterial small subunit ribosomal RNA
Source: RNAcentral
GUGACGAAGCGACGCCGCGUGUGGGAAGAAGGCCUUCGGGUUGUGAACCACUGUCGGGAGUUAGGAAAUGUAAGGGUGCUAAUAGUAUCCUUACUUGACUAAGGCUCCGGAGGAAGCCACGGCUAACUCUGUGCCAGCAGCCGCGGUAAUACAGAGGCGGCAAGCGUUGUUCGGAAUUAUUGGGCGUAAAGAGCACGUAGGCGGCCUUGUAAGUCAGUUGUGAAAGCCUUCUGCUUAACGGAAGAACAGCAGCUGAUACUGCAAGGCUAGAGUGCGGAAGGGGAGAGUGGAACUUCCGGUGGAGCGGUGAAAUGCGUAGAUAUCAGAAGGAACACCGGCGGCGAAGGCGACUCUCUGGUCCGUAACUGACGCUGAGCGUGCGAAAGCUAGGGGAGCAAACGGGAUUAGAUACCCCGGUAGUCCUAGCCGUAAACGAU